GUAAAGACAAAGGGGUGCCCAAAAGGCUGAGAUUAUACCCUAAUAACCUGAUACAGUUAGCACUGGCGUAGGGAUUGUGUUUCUUCUUAUC
Regulatory RNA element from Bacteroides faecichinchillae, 91 nucleotides. It matches the Rfam family "TPP riboswitch aptamer (THI element)". Rfam says of the family: Vitamin B(1) in its active form thiamin pyrophosphate (TPP) is an essential coenzyme that is synthesised by coupling of pyrimidine and thiazole moieties in bacteria. The previously detected thiamin-regulatory element, thi box was extended, resulting in a new, highly conserved RNA secondary structure, the THI element, which is widely distributed in eubacteria and also occurs in some archaea. NCBI's taxonomy places the organism in Bacteria, Pseudomonadati, Bacteroidota, Bacteroidia, Bacteroidales, Bacteroidaceae. The record is from Rfam.